UUGAAAUUAUAGGCGAGGGUUGUAGCUGGCCUCUCGGGGCAUGUGCACGCCCGAGCCCUUAAUCCACACACACCUGUGAACCUAUUGUAAGGGCCCGUGAAAAGGCCUUUACGUCUUUAUCACCAACUCUGUAUUCAUAGAAUGUAAUCCAUAUCUUCGCCUUAACAAGCGUCGAUAAACUUAUA
Molecule: unclassified non-coding RNA, 185 nt
Filed under: uncultured Atheliales
Lineage: Eukaryota; Fungi; Basidiomycota; Agaricomycetes; Atheliales
Description: sequence contains ITS1
Source: RNAcentral